UUAUGCGUUAGCUGCAGCACUAAAGGGCGGAACCCCCUAACACUUAGCACUCAUCGUUUACGGCGUGGACUACCAGGGUAUCUAAUCCUGUUCGCUCCCCACGCUUUCGCUCCUCAGCGUCAGUUACAGACCAGAGAGUCGCCUUCGCCACUGGUGUUCCUCCACAUCUCUACGCAUUUCACCGCUACACGUGGAAUUCCACUCUCCUCUUCUGCACUCAAGUUUCCCAGUUUCCAAUGACCCUCCCCGGUUGAGCCGGGGGCUUUCACAUCAGACUUAAGAAACCGCCUGCGAGCCCUUUACGCCCAAUAAUUCCGGACAACGCUUGCCACCUACGUAUUACCGCGGCUGCUGGCACGUAGUUAGCCGUGGCUUUCUGGUUAGGUACCGUCAAGGUGCA
Molecule: ribosomal RNA, 400 nt
Filed under: Bacillus sp. AY-2011-RS13
Lineage: Bacteria; Bacillati; Bacillota; Bacilli; Caryophanales; Bacillaceae
Description: partial 16S ribosomal RNA
Source: RNAcentral